UUAGGGUACCGGUGCCUUGCUCAAGACAUGCCGCUUGUCUGAAGAGAAUGGUCUUGAACUGAGUUCCCCCUGGUGGCAAUAACACUGUUAUCCACUUAGCCACAGAAAACAAGCAUCAAAGUAUCCUUAAAUAUGUUGGUGGGUGGGGUUGAGCACGUGGAUUCAAGUCUUGACUUGAGACUUGCAUCCAACUUGCCACUAGGUUAAUUGCUUGUACUGUCUAACACAGGAUGGCAACCGGUUCAGGGUGUACCCCGCCUACUGCCUCAAGAAAACUGGGAUAGCCUCCAAUAUGCCCGCGACCCUCGUGAGGAUAAGCGGAUUAGAAAAUGGGUGAAUGGAUAGUAGGAAUACAUUUUAUUUGUGAUGGACUUUACAUCCGCAACAGAGCUUAACAUGCUACAGCCAUGAACAAAAACUCAAACAAGUAAAAUGCAAGUUCGCACGAACACAUAAAACAACAUUAUAAGUUAAAAGCUCUCUUCAAAAGAAAGGUUUUAAAUUUGUUUUCAAACUUUCAAUGCUCUGUGGAGCCCUGAGGUAGUCCAGGAGAGCGUUGCACACAUGUGGCACAGCAGAGCAGAAGGCCCGAUCCCCCACUGUGCUGGUCUUAGCACUCGGUUGAAGGAGAUGGUCGGUGUUGAAGGAGUAGAGAGAUGGUGCUGAAGUGUUUGGCGUAAGGAGCUCUGAUAGGCGUGGGUGGGGUGGGGUGGAGAUUCAUUGCCGUGGAUACAUUUGUGGGUGAGUAGAGAGACCUUAUAUUCAAUAUUGGCAGUGAUAGAGAGCCAAUGAAGUGAAUGUAGGAUGGGGAUGGCGCGCUCAUGUUUCCACACUCUCAUCAGGAUCCUGGCAGCACUGUUCGGGAGGAAAUGCAGCUUCUGGAUGGUUUUGCUGGGGAUCCCAAUGAGCGGUGUGUUGCAGUCGUUCAUUCUUAUGCUUGCAAUGUGCUGGAGUGUGACCACUCGUCAUGAAUUCUGAGAAACCGAUGGGAAGCUAUUAAAGGUGCGGCGCUCUGUUAUCUUGAGGAACAGGCUUGAAGCACAGUGUGUGAAAAGCCUUGAAUGGUCACAAAGCUUAUUAUGAUGAUACAAAACUGGCAAGCAGAUCAUGUUCCCUCCUCAAAGAGGGUCAGGGUGACCUUUAAUAUGUAGUCAACAUAGAAGGAACAUGCACAGUCCUACACAAAGCCCACAGGGCUGAAACACAGCGGUAACAGUCACGCUCAAUUAUUAUAAAAUGGAAGAAUAAAGACAAAGACAGCUGCUGCACGUUAAAUAAGUGAAUAAAGGGCGCUGUUCAAAGCAGUCAUUCCAAAUGAGAUGCUCCUCAUCGUGAUCUGUGUUUUUGUUUAGAUUGCAAUUC
Molecule: long non-coding RNA, 1362 nt
Organism: Hippocampus comes (tiger tail seahorse)
Lineage: Eukaryota; Metazoa; Chordata; Actinopteri; Syngnathiformes; Syngnathidae
Exons: 3
Source: RefSeq, a predicted model, not a curated record